AAUAUAUCCGGAAGCAACUGUCAUGGCUGCUGUCAGUGAGGGCCCGUAAUGGAGAUCGAGUCAAGGGUUGCCCAGGGACACUUAAGAGCCUUCGGCUUCAAGGAGGCCUCUCAAAGGACAAAGGAUGAGACUGCCUGGCGGCAGAGUGCCCCCCACAAUCGUAGGAACUGUGUCGCCGCGCUUCCCGUUAACUUGCCGCUAAGUUUUUCUAGAAAAGUCGCCCUUCUUGCCAGGGGUGUCCUAUAGACUUUGUCAUGGAGUGAAACAGAAACAAAUGGAUUCCCAAGAGCUUUGAAUGAAGACAUUUAAGAUUACUUCUAGUAACCUUGCUUGUCAAACCCAUGGUGGAUGUAAUUAACCAUCUGUGCUCGUAAAUCAGGAAACUGCAAAACUGUGAGAACACUCCGACGUCAAUUGAGGUGAUAUGGGGGCUGAAAUGUGAUUAGAGGAAACCUAAUCAAUUGUAUUUUAACCUCUUUGGUGGAUUAUCACAAAAGAGGUGGAUGGUAACCCUAGGACAGUGAGACUGUCCACUUUUCUGAGACUGGAGAUCAAUCUCUUAAUAGUAAAACGUAAAUAUUUUUAAAACUUCA
This 593-nucleotide long non-coding RNA is filed under the name Homo sapiens (human). RNAcentral describes it as "HSALNT0359427". The record is from RNAcentral. Lineage: Eukaryota; Metazoa; Chordata; Mammalia; Primates; Hominidae.